CCAACAGGGAUUGCCUUAGUAACGGCGAGUGAAGCGGCAAAAGCUCAAAUUUGAAAUCUGGCACCUUCGGUGUCCGAGUUGUAAUUUGAAGAAGGUAACUUUGGAGUUGGCUCUUGUCUAUGUUCCUUGGAACAGGACGUCACAGAGGGUGAGAAUCCCGUGCGAUGAGAUGCCCAAUUCUAUGUAAAGUGCUUUCGAAGAGUCGAGUUGUUUGGGAAUGCAGCUCUAAGUGGGUGGUAAAUUCCAUCUAAAGCUAAAUAUUGGCGAGAGACCGAUAGCGAACAAGUACAGUGAUGGAAAGAUGAAAAGAACUUUGAAAAGAGAGUGAAAAAGUACGUGAAAUUGUUGAAAGGGAAGGGCUUGAGAUCAGACUUGGUAUUUUGCGAUCCUUUCCUUCUUGGUUGGGUUCCUCGCAGCUUACUGGGCCAGCAUCGGUUUGGAUGGUAGGAUAAUGACUAAGGAAUGUGGCUCUACUUCGGUGGAGUGUUAUAGCCUUGGUUGAUACUGCCUGUCUAGACCGAGGACUGCGUCUUUUGACUAGGAUGUUGG
This 549-nucleotide ribosomal RNA is filed under the name Debaryomyces hansenii. Its description in RNAcentral is "eukaryotic LSU rRNA". It matches the Rfam family "Eukaryotic large subunit ribosomal RNA", at positions 65 to 629 of the family's 3401-position model. Lineage: Eukaryota; Fungi; Ascomycota; Pichiomycetes; Serinales; Debaryomycetaceae. RNAcentral also lists the same sequence under 1 other name. The record is from RNAcentral.